UUCAGCUGUCAUCAGUCAUGCUGCAGUGCCUGAAAUAGUCUCAUAACACAUAAAGGAGAUGAUUUGGGACUUGUAUGUAGGUACAUGAGUAGAAAGUAAAUAGUCCAGUGGCCUCACUAAAAUUACAGAGAAAAAUUCAUAUGGACCUAGCAAUCCCAGGAGAAGUGUAAGCACUUUCUUGGAAUUGCAUCUUUCCAGAAGCCCUCAGAUGAACUGUUGAUCAGAGAAAACAGGAGCUACGUAACAGCCCACAAUUGGGAAACAGAGAGAUGGGGAGAGGAAACAACUUCUGAAGUGGGCCACAGCCACAGAACUAGAAAAAAAGCUGCAGUUUACCUGACUCCACCAUAGCACAUCCCCAUCAGAAGUUAGAAGAAAACCUUCAAAGAAAUAAAGAAAGAGAUAGGUAAAGAGACUAGAGAAACACAAGAAGAAAAGUUGUAAAAAGUCAUGUAAAAACCAUGAAUAUCUCAUAAACCAACUCUGCUGUAACCCUCAAAUCUCAGAUUUCCAGAUUCCUAGUCACCUACUAUAAUAAUGCACAAAGCAUUCGCAGGUGGAUUAUCUUUUAAAAAUG
This is a long non-coding RNA of Chroicocephalus ridibundus (black-headed gull), 577 nucleotides long. RefSeq lists it as uncharacterized. The record is from RefSeq and is a predicted model, not a curated record. The transcript is spliced from 5 exons. NCBI's taxonomy places the organism in Eukaryota, Metazoa, Chordata, Aves, Charadriiformes, Laridae.